RNAcentral lists this ribosomal RNA (500 nucleotides) under uncultured bacterium. RNAcentral's name for it is "bacterial SSU rRNA". It matches the Rfam family "Bacterial small subunit ribosomal RNA", at positions 28 to 551 of the family's 1533-position model. The record is from RNAcentral.
GAUGAACGCUGGCGGCGUGCCUAAUACAUGCAAGUCGAACGGAGGUCCGCAAGGAUCUUAGUGGCGAACGGGUGAGUAACGCGUUGGUGACCUGCCCCGGAGUGUGGGAUACCAGGCCGAAAGGCUUGCUAAUACCGCAUGGGCAAAGGGACGACUAGACAGCCCUUUGCAAAGGAGUAAUCCGCUCUGGGAGGGGCCUGCGACCCAUCAGCUAGUUGGUGAGGUAACGGCUCACCAAGGCGACGAUGCGUAGCCGACCUGAGAGGGUGAUCGGCCACAUUGGAACUGAGACACGGUCCAGACUCCUACGGGAGGCAGCAGUGGGGAAUAUUGCACAAUGGGCGAAAGCCUGAUGCAGCAACGCCGCGUGAGUGAUGAAGGCCUUCGGGUUGUAAAACUCUGUCUUUGGGGACGAUAAUGACGGUACCCAAGGAGGAAGCCACGGCUAACUACGUGCCAGCAGCCGCGGUAAUACGUAGGUGGCAAGCGUUGUCCGGAUU